RNAcentral lists this unclassified non-coding RNA (279 nucleotides) under plant metagenome. RNAcentral's name for it is "partial contains small subunit ribosomal RNA and internal transcribed spacer 1". The record is from RNAcentral.
AAGUCGUAACAAGGUUUCCGUAGGUGAGUAACUACCUUAUUCCCAUUCUCUUUUGUGACUUUAGCUAACUUGUGAUCAAUAGGUGAACCUGCGGAAGGAUCAUUAUCGAGAACGAUUUUUUAAUUAAGAUCAUCUCCCACCCUAUGUUAACUUAACUUGUUGCUUUGACGAACCGUCUGGUUUACCAGCCUUUGGUCUUUUCUAAAGAUUGGAGUGUGUUUGUCAAGGGAUUUUAAACUUCUGUUUAAACUUGAAAUCUGAAUCAAACAAAAUAAUAAA